AACCAAACCGAAUUACCGAAUUUAGUCGGUUCAGUUGAUUUAUUCGGUUCAUACCAAAUAGAGCACAGCUUUACUCUUGACAUAAGGUGGAUUAAAAAUGUUAUUUCAAGUUAUUAAGAGUUUACAGGCGACCUGAAUGGAGCCUGCUGUUCCUUCUUGGUUUAACUGUUUUGUAUUGAUUAAAUUCAAUGAUUUGUUCAGAAGAUUGUUGUAAAAAUCACUAGUUGACUCAUACAUUUUACGAGUUAUAAUAAUCUAAACUGAUCAAAAUGUAUAGAAAACCG
RNAcentral lists this unclassified non-coding RNA (284 nucleotides) under Hevea brasiliensis (rubber tree). Lineage: Eukaryota; Viridiplantae; Streptophyta; Magnoliopsida; Malpighiales; Euphorbiaceae. The record is from RNAcentral.